UCUAGUUUCUCCGUAAUUUAG
Molecule: non-coding RNA, 21 nt
Filed under: Caenorhabditis elegans
Lineage: Eukaryota; Metazoa; Nematoda; Chromadorea; Rhabditida; Rhabditidae
Source: RNAcentral